This 18-nucleotide small nuclear RNA is filed under the name Arabidopsis thaliana (thale cress). RNAcentral describes it as "snRNA_03332". The record is from RNAcentral. Lineage: Eukaryota; Viridiplantae; Streptophyta; Magnoliopsida; Brassicales; Brassicaceae.
AGUAAUUUGGAUUCUCCA